AUGUUUUCUUAAGGCAAUCCUCACCAUCUCAUCUGCAAGUCACACCUGUUAGAAAAUUUGGGUCACCAACUCAAUGUUGUGUCAUUAUGAGUAAAAUGCCGAGCAGGGUAUAGCCUGCAUUUUGCAGAGUUCAUGUGCCUACCUCCAAGAGGUGACCUUACUUCUCUGGCCAUUCAGUUGAUGCCUACAAGGAUGAAAUCUUGGGCUGCAUUCAGUUCAUGACAUCGUAAGCGGCGUAAGCCGUGAUCAUCCCACCAUCUCACAGUUACAUCUCCGACGCUUCAUCUGUUUUAGCAGGAAAUGAGAAACUGGAUGCUAUUAUCUUCAGUUUUGCAUGCUGUUGAAUCCUGUGUUACAAAAUCUUAAGAACCUCUUUCAGUCUUUCCUAAAGGCAGUAUACUUCAAGUAAAACAGAAAGGGGGAUGCUUUUCUUUCA
Molecule: long non-coding RNA, 436 nt
Organism: Alnus glutinosa
Lineage: Eukaryota; Viridiplantae; Streptophyta; Magnoliopsida; Fagales; Betulaceae
Exons: 2
Source: RefSeq, a predicted model, not a curated record